Molecule: RNA transcript, 1396 nt
Organism: Camarhynchus parvulus
Lineage: Eukaryota; Metazoa; Chordata; Aves; Passeriformes; Thraupidae
Gene name: leucine-rich repeat and calponin homology domain-containing protein 2-like
Exons: 4
Source: RefSeq, a predicted model, not a curated record
GAUGGCGGCCGGGCAGGGGGGCGGCGGCGGCAACAACGGCAGCGGCAGCGGGAGCGGGACGGCGGCCGGGAGCGGAGCGGCGGGGCUCGGCAUCCCCGCGCACCUGACUCUCUCCUUCUCGUCCGGGCCGCACUCGGGCGCGGCAGCUCUGCCGCAGUCGCACACGGUGCGCAGCCUGGAGCGGGCCCUGGAGGAGGCGGGCAGCUCGGGCAUCCUGUGCCUGAGCGGGAGGAAGCUGCGCGACUUCCCCGGCAGCGGCUGCGACCUGAGCGACACCACGCAAGCAGGGCACCUCAGGCGUGGCUACCGAGAAGCUCCUCCUUUGGUGAGUGGAAAGGAACCGUUGGAGUGGAAAGGAACCUUUGGUGUGUUGCAGCCGAGUGCCAGCCUGAUGGGCUGACUGAAAGUUCCUGUCAGUGUCUUUGCAGCAGCAGAAGCUAAGGGAUCCCUGGCUGUUUUCUCCUUUUUUGUUGAAGAGCUUUUGAACGGCUGCAGGAAUGAUUUUGCAGCCAGAAGAUUGCAUGCUGCUUUUAGCCAUGGUGGAGUAUCUAAUUCACAAGCAUAAGUGGCAAUGUCUACUUUAGCCCACUGUUGGUUUGAACACCCCAGAAUGCUAUUUCUCCGUAGUGCAGCUGAGGAUAAAUAAGGCCAUAAAUGUGAUACAACUGCCUGUCCCUCACACUACUGUCUGUCCACAAAGCACAGAAGCUGCAUCAGGGGCUCCUCUAGCUCUGUCUCCAAAGAGGAGGCUAAAGAGCAGCAAGACAAGAAGGCUGGGGAGAAGGAACAAAGUGAAUUUCCCUCUGUUCUUGGAGACAAUGGUGAACUUUCCACGGUUCUUGAAGAUAGUGGUGAAUUUCCCACCAUUCUGGAAGAUGACAGCAAAGCUCCAGCAGUGUGAAUCGAGGACAGGGAAUGUCUUGUGGUGUGGGAUGAGGAGUGGGAACAGCCUCAUCACAGGAAGAAGGAGAACAAAGAUCUCACAGUGUGGGAAGAGGAGGGCAGACAGACAGUGGCCUGGGAAGAGCACAGCAGACAUCACGCCAUGGGGGAAGGAGAGGGACAGCAUCUCCCUGUGUGGGAAGAGCACCAUGAACAUCCCACUGCUUGGGAAGAGGAUGAUGAGGCACCACCUUUUUGGGAAGAGGACAGUGAACCUCCCUCUGUUGAGGCAUCAUGGGCUGAGCAUUCUGACAGCAGCACAGCUUCACAGCCAGAGGGGAGACAGAGAGGUGCCUCAUGCAGCUGAGCACGUCUGCUCUCUGUCCUGUCUGCCAGAGCAGGGGAACUGUGAGCCUGGGGGAGCCUGCCAAGAAACACAAUGAAGCUGAGCCAGUUGGCCAAGGCUACCUGUUGAUGAAGAUCUCUGGUUGGUGAUGGAGUCCAUGGAUGGAGG